AGAUUGAACGCUGGCGGCAUGCCUAACACAUGCAAGUCGAACGGGAGUAGCAAUACUCUAGUGGCGGACGGGUGAGGAAUACGUAGGAAUUUGCCCUUAAGUGGGGGAUAACCCGGGGAAACCCGGAUUAAUACCGCAUGACCUCGAAAGAGCAAAGUGGGGGAUCGCAAGACCUCACGCUUUUGGAGAAGCCUACGUCGGAUUAGCUAGUUGGUGAGGUAAUGGCUCACCAAGGCGACGAUCCGUAACUGGUUCUGAGAGGAUGAUCAGUCACACCGGUACUGAGAC
This 288-nucleotide ribosomal RNA is filed under the name uncultured soil bacterium. RNAcentral describes it as "partial 16S ribosomal RNA". It matches the Rfam family "Bacterial small subunit ribosomal RNA", at positions 26 to 325 of the family's 1533-position model. The record is from RNAcentral.